Molecule: ribosomal RNA, 485 nt
Filed under: uncultured cyanobacterium
Lineage: Bacteria; Bacillati; Cyanobacteriota
Description: bacterial SSU rRNA
Rfam family: Bacterial small subunit ribosomal RNA
Source: RNAcentral
AGGGGGACAACAACUGGAAACGGUUGCUAAUACCCCAUAUGCUUUCGAGUGAAACGGUUUUUCCGCCUAAAGAGAAGCUUGCGGCUGAUUAGCUUGUUGGUGAGGUAAUGGCUCACCAAGGCGACGAUCAGUAGCUGGUCUGAGAGGACGAUCAGCCACACUGGGACUGAGACACGGCCCAGACUCCUACGGGAGGCAGCAGUGGGGAAUUUUCCGCAAUGGGCGAAAGCCUGACGGAGCAAUACCGCGUGAGGGAGGAAGGCUCUUGGGUUGUAAACCUCUUUUCUUAGGGAAGAAGCUCUGACGGUACCUAAGGAAUAAGCAUCGGCUAACUCCGUGCCAGCAGCCGCGGUAAUACGGAGGAUGCAAGCGUUAUCCGGAAUCAUUGGGCGUAAAGCGUACGUAGGUGGCAGUUCAAGUCUGCUGUUAAAGGCUGGGGCUUAAACCCAGACAGGCAGUGGAAACUGAACAGCUAGAGUGUGGUA